Molecule: ribosomal RNA, 491 nt
Filed under: uncultured bacterium
Lineage: Bacteria
Description: partial 16S ribosomal RNA
Rfam family: Bacterial small subunit ribosomal RNA
Source: RNAcentral
AGUGAACGCUGGCGGUAGGCCUAACACAUGCAAGUCGAACGGCAGCACAGUAAGAGCUUGCUCUUACGGGUGGCGAGUGGCGGACGGGUGAGGAAUACAUCGGAAUCUACUUUUUCGUGGGGGAUAACGUAGGGAAACUUACGCUAGUACCGCAUACGACCUACGGGUGAAAGCAGGGGAUCUUCGGACCUUGCGCGAUUGAAUGAGCCGAUGUCGGAUUAGCUAGUUGGCGGGGUAAAGGCCCACCAAGGCGACGAUCCGUAGCUGGUCUGAGAGGAUGAUCAGCCACACUGGAACUGAGACACGGUCCAGACUCCUACGGGAGGCAGCAGUGGGGAAUAUUGGACAAUGGGCGCAAGCCUGAUCCAGCCAUACCGCGUGGGUGAAGAAGGCCUUCGGGUUGUAAAGCCCUUUUGUUGGGAAAGAAAAGCAGCAGGUUAAUACCCCGCUGUUCUGACGGUACCCAAAGAAUAAGCACCGGCUGACUUCGU